GCAUGCAUAUGAGCGUAUAAGAAACUAAGGAAAACAAAAAUUUACAUCUAACUAUUAGAUAAAAAAUGACUUAACAUAAACAUCAGAUCUGAAUCUGAAUUUAUACAAGACAUAAAUCAUUAGUUUCACAUCUAAAUAUCCAUGAAAACCUGCUCAAGAUUAGAUCCGAAUAUACAUCAAAAUCUGGUUAAAAUCUGACCUGAAUAUCCACAG
RNAcentral lists this long non-coding RNA (213 nucleotides) under Elaeis guineensis (African oil palm). Its description in RNAcentral is "long non-coding RNA (EGUI_LNC027806)". Lineage: Eukaryota; Viridiplantae; Streptophyta; Magnoliopsida; Arecales; Arecaceae. The record is from RNAcentral.